Mustela lutreola (European mink) is the source of this 875-nucleotide long non-coding RNA. RefSeq lists it as uncharacterized. The record is from RefSeq and is a predicted model, not a curated record. Lineage: Eukaryota; Metazoa; Chordata; Mammalia; Carnivora; Mustelidae. The transcript has 3 exons.
CACAUAUCCGAGAAGAGUUUCAAGAAGAGAAUACAGUGAAAAUGAGGAGAGGCAAUGAGAUCAUGGUUGAGAAUUUUUCAAAACUGAUGAAGAUAUGAAUUCUAAAAUGAGAGGUACCCUUAAAGAAAAAUAAACAAAAAGAAACUCACAUCUUGGCCUAUUGUUGAUAAACUCAGGACAUCAAAGGGAAGAAAAAUCUUAAAAUUAACCAAAAGGGACGGACAAAUUAUCUCUAAAAAUAGAUGAACUGUAAGGAAAGGCCACAAACGAUCUCUUCAAAAUGGCAAAUUGUUUUUAAAGGGAAAGAAAAACACACAUUUUUAGAACUUCAAAGACUGAAUUUAGCAAAAUCUUCCCAGUGAAAGAACUGCUCAACAACAUACUUUGAGAAGGAAAUUAACUCCAAAGAACUGAGUAUUGGCAAGAAACAACAGGAAGCAAAGAAAUUAGUGAACAGUAAUGUCCUAGGCUGGACCCUCUGAGGAGCUAGAGAAAGAUGAGAUCAAGAGUGGAAGAGUGCUAUCAGAUAAAACGCCUGGUAAGAGAAAAUGGAAGGAGCUGUAAGAACUCAGACCAUGAUGCAAGUCUGACCGGAGAAAGCCCAUGAAUGUUGGUGUAUCAACAAGCAAGAUAAACUUCCUUAAAUGGCACAGAAAUUUGUGACAUCCCUAGAAAAUGUCAUCAAAAGGAAAGAAGUAACAAUAUUAAAAUAUCUCACCCAAUCCCGUAAAGAUGACUAAUCUAUUUCAGCAUUUCAAGAUUUUAAGUAGCUAGAGAAUAAUAAAAAGAAAUUUCCACAAGCCUUUCAUAUGUCACAAAAUGAAGCUUGCCAUGCUCCCCCUGUGCAUUUAAUAAUGCACAUCUAUUGAUUUAUA